This 496-nucleotide ribosomal RNA is filed under the name uncultured bacterium. Its description in RNAcentral is "partial 16S ribosomal RNA". It matches the Rfam family "Bacterial small subunit ribosomal RNA", at positions 28 to 506 of the family's 1533-position model. The record is from RNAcentral.
GAUGAACGCUGGCGGCGUGCCUAAUACAUGCAAGUCGAGCGAACGGACGAGAAGCUUGCUUCUCUGAUGUUAGCGGCGGACGGGUGAGUAACACGUGGAUAACCUACUUAUAAGACUGGGAUAACUUCGGGAAACCGGAGCUAAUACCGGAUAAUAUUUUGAACCGCAUGGUUCAAAAGUGAAAGACGGUCUUGCUGUCACUUAUAGAUGGAUCCGCGCUGCAUUAGCUAGUUGGUAAGGUAACGGCUUACCAAGGCAACGAUGCAUAGCCGACCUGAGAGGGUGAUCGGCCACACUGGAACUGAGACACGGUCCAGACUCCUACGGGAGGCAGCAGUAGGGAAUCUUCCGCAAUGGGCGAAAGCCUGACGGAGCAACGCCGCGUGAGUGAUGAAGGUCUUCGGAUCGUAAAACUCUGUUAUUAGGGAAGAACAUAUGUGUAAGUAACUGUGCACAUCUUGACGGUACCUAAGCAGAAAGCCACGGCUAACUACGU